AAGAUGCUAGGGGCAAACAGGAUUUAGAAAGAUAAGAAAUAAACUAAGGAAUGUAGUAUGAGUUACAACGUAAUCACAAGUUAAGUAUAGGACACAUAAGAGAAAGUAGAUAAUAGAUAGUAAAGUCGAUUCUGAGAGAAUCGUUGAAGCAGGAGCUCUGUUUAUAGGGAAACAAUGAUUUCAGGAGACAGUAAAUCUGGGUGGGGGGAACUAAAAACGUCAAACCUCUGACUUAAUGCUUUUGUCAAAGUAUAAAAGAAAACCUGAAGUGUGAAAUUCCGUACUAUGAGUCAGAGGCUACAUCAUCGUCCGCCGACACUGCUCAUCCCUUCAGGCUGAUUCCCUGGCUGUUGGAGCUGGACUCCAGCACCAGUUGCCUGAGAAAACCAAAACAAACCAGGAAGAGUCUUAUGACUUUUCCUUGGAACAAAGCUCUCACGUAAUAUCUUCAAUUUUAUCCUGACAAAUUCUAUUCUAUUCUAUUAAGAAUUGAGGAGGUGGAUGGACACAAAUGGCCGCUGCAGGUAACAAAGCUCCAAUUCCUCGCAGAGUUCAGUGAAAAGAAGGAAGUCUACACAGGGUUGCUUCAUUGGUUGCCAUAAUGGUCAAAUAAAUAAAGAUGCACAAGGUGAA
Long non-coding RNA from Bubalus bubalis (water buffalo), 633 nucleotides. RefSeq lists it as uncharacterized. The record is from RefSeq and is a predicted model, not a curated record. NCBI's taxonomy places the organism in Eukaryota, Metazoa, Chordata, Mammalia, Artiodactyla, Bovidae. The transcript has 2 exons.